UGCGUAUUUGCAACUUCGAUCGUGAAAGAAGAAUCCGACAAGUUAGGAACUAUUAUCGGGAUUGAUCUCGGGACUAUUUAUUCAUGUGUUGGUGUUUAUAAGAACGGACACAUUGGAAUCAUAGCCAAUGAUCAAGGAAACCGUAUCACCCCAUCGUGGGUGACUUUUACGGACAAUGAGAGGUUGAUCGGUGAGGCGGUCAAGAAUCAGGAGGCUGUAAAUGCCGAAAGGACCUUAUUUGAUGUCAAGAGACUCAUUGGCAGAAAGUGUGAACUUAAUACUAUAUUCUUGCGUCGUGGGAUAUAACUGAGAUUCUUCACGAUUCGGUUCUGUUGGAGAGGUUUCGAUCGAUUUUGCAAGUUAUGCAGAGGCUACAAAGCUUUCUUCUCUAUCUCUUCCUCUUAUAAACGCUAAUUCUGGAGCUGUAUUGCAUGUAUCGAUUCAAAGGGUGCAACGGACUUCUGAUCAGAGGGACAUUGAUGGAAUUUAUGAUGACGGUCAUUAUGAUCGAAGCUUGAGGUUACACUUUGGCAAUGGUGACGUAGAAGAGAGUUCCGAUGCUUUUUCUAUGAUAAAUCUGUACAGUACUUUGAAUGGCUUUGGUUGUCAUUUGUGGUCAACCAUGCAGCGGGAAGUCAACAGGCGGCUCUUUG
Molecule: long non-coding RNA, 653 nt
Organism: Helianthus annuus (common sunflower)
Lineage: Eukaryota; Viridiplantae; Streptophyta; Magnoliopsida; Asterales; Asteraceae
Exons: 5
Source: RefSeq, a predicted model, not a curated record